ACACGGUGGAUGCCCUGGCAGUCAGAGGCGAUGAAGGACGUGCUAAUCUGCGAUAAGCGUCGGUGAGGUGAUAUGAACCGUUAUAACCGGCGAUUUCCGAAUGGGGAAACCCAGUGUGUUUCGACACACUAUCAUUAACUGAAUCCAUAGGUUAAUGAGGCGAACCGGGGGAACUGAAACAUCUAAGUACCCCGAGGAAAAGAAAUCAACCGAGAUUCCCCCAGUAGCGGCGAGCGAACGGGGAGGAGCCCAGAGCCUGAAUCAGUGUGUGUGUUAGUGGAAGCGUCUGGAAAGGCGUGCGAUACAGGGUGACAGCCCCGUACACAAAAAUGCACAUAUUGUGAGCUCGAUGAGUAGGGCGGGACACGUGGUAUCCUGUCUGAAUAUGGGGGGACCAUCCUCCAAGGCUAAAUACUCCUGACUGACCGAUAGUGAACCAGUACCGUGAGGGAAAGGCGAAAAGAACCCCGGCGAGGGGAGUGAAAAAGAACCUGAAACCGUGUACGUACAAGCAGUGGGAGCCUCUUAAUGGGGUGACUGCGUACCUUUUGUAUAAUGGGUCAGCGACUUAUAUUCUGUAGCAAGGUUAACCGAAUAGGGGAGCCGAAGGGAAACCGAGUCUUAACUGGGCGUUAAGUUGCAGGGUAUAGACCCGAAACCCGGUGAUCUAGCCAUGGGCAGGUUGAAGGUUGGGUAACACUAACUGGAGGACCGAACCGACUAAUGUUGAAAAAUUAGCGGAUGACUUGUGGCUGGGGGUGAAAGGCCAAUCAAACCGGGAGAUAGCUGGUUCUCCCCGAAAGCUAUUUAGGUAGCGCCUCGUGAAUUCAUCUCCGGGGGUAGAGCACUGUUUCGGCAAGGGGGUCAUCCCGACUUACCAACCCGAUGCAAACUGCGAAUACCGGAGAAUGUUAUCACGGGAGACACACGGCGGGUGCUAACGUCCGUCGUGAAGAGGGAAACAACCCAGACCGCCAGCUAAGGUCCCAAAGUCAUGGUUAAGUGGGAAACGAUGUGGGAAGGCCCAGACAGCCAGGAUGUUGGCUUAGAAGCAGCCAUCAUUUAAAGAAAGCGUAAUAGCUCACUGGUCGAGUCGGCCUGCGCGGAAGAUGUAACGGGGCUAAACCAUGCACCGAAGCUGCGGCAGCGACACUAUGUGUUGUUGGGUAGGGGAGCGUUCUGUAAGCCUGUGAAGGUGGCCUGUGAGGGUUGCUGGAGGUAUCAGAAGUGCGAAUGCUGACAUAAGUAACGAUAAAGCGGGUGAAAAGCCCGCUCGCCGGAAGACCAAGGGUUCCUGUCCAACGUUAAUCGGGGCAGGGUGAGUCGACCCCUAAGGCGAGGCCGAAAGGCGUAGUCGAUGGGAAACAGGUUAAUAUUCCUGUACUUGGUGUUACUGCGAAGGGGGGACGGAGAAGGCUAUGUUGGCCGGGCGACGGUUGUCCCGGUUUAAGCGUGUAGGCUGGUUUUCCAGGCAAAUCCGGAAAACCAAGGCUGAGGCGUGAUGACGAGGCACUACGGUGCUGAAGCGACAAAUGCCCUGCUUCCAGGAAAAGCCUCUAAGCAUCAGGUAACAUCAAAUCGUACCCCAAACCGACACAGGUGGUCAGGUAGAGAAUACCAAGGCGCUUGAGAGAACUCGGGUGAAGGAACUAGGCAAAAUGGUGCCGUAACUUCGGGAGAAGGCACGCUGAUAUGUAGGUGAAGCGACUUGCUCGUGGAGCUGAAAUCAGUCGAAGAUACCAGCUGGCUGCAACUGUUUAUUAAAAACACAGCACUGUGCAAACACGAAAGUGGACGUAUACGGUGUGACGCCUGCCCGGUGCCGGAAG
RNAcentral lists this ribosomal RNA (1829 nucleotides) under Escherichia coli. RNAcentral describes it as "partial 23S ribosomal RNA". It matches the Rfam family "Bacterial large subunit ribosomal RNA", at positions 19 to 1875 of the family's 2925-position model. Lineage: Bacteria; Pseudomonadati; Pseudomonadota; Gammaproteobacteria; Enterobacterales; Enterobacteriaceae. The record is from RNAcentral.